GACGAACGCUGGCGGCGUGCCUAAUACGUGCAAGUCGAACGAGAGCGACCGGUGCUUGCACUGGUCAAUCUAGUGGCGAACGGGUGAGUAACACGUGGGUAACCUGCCCAUCAGAGGGGGAUAACAUCCGGAAACGGAUGCUAAAACCGCAUAGGUCUUCGAGCCGCAUGGCUUGAAGAGGAAAAGAGGCGCACGCUUCUGCUGAUGGAUGGACCCGCGGUGCAUUAGCUAGUUGGUGAGGUAACGGCUCACCAAGGCCGUGAUGCAUAGCCGACCUGAGAGGGUGAUCGGCCACAUUGGGACUGAGACACGGCCCAAACUCCUACGGGAGGCAGCAGUAGGGAAUCUUCCGCAAUGGACGCAAGUCUGACGGAGCAACGCCGCGUGAGUGAAGAAGGUUUUCGGAUCGUAAAACUCUGUUGUUAGAGAAGAACAAGUGCUAGAGUAACUGUUAGCGCCUUGACGGUAGCUAACCAGAAAGCCACGGCUAACUACGUG
Molecule: ribosomal RNA, 498 nt
Filed under: uncultured bacterium
Lineage: Bacteria
Description: partial 16S ribosomal RNA
Rfam family: Bacterial small subunit ribosomal RNA
Source: RNAcentral